This 460-nucleotide ribosomal RNA is filed under the name uncultured bacterium. Its description in RNAcentral is "partial 16S ribosomal RNA". It matches the Rfam family "Bacterial small subunit ribosomal RNA", at positions 338 to 795 of the family's 1533-position model. The record is from RNAcentral.
CCUACGGGUGGCAGCAGUGAGGAAUAUUGGUCAAUGGACGAGAGUCUGAACCAGCCAAGUAGCGUGAAGGAUGACUGCCCUAUGGUUUGUAAACUUCUUUUAUAUGGGAAUAAAAUGUUCCACGUGUGGGAUUUUGUAUGUACCAUAUGAAUAAGGAUCGGCUAACUCCGUGCCAGCAGCCGCGGUAAUACGGAGGAUCCGAGCGUUAUCCGGAUUUAGUGGGUGUAAAGGGAGCGUAGGUGGAUUGUUAAGUCAGUUGUGAAAGUUUGCGGCUCAACCGUAAAAUUGCAGUUGAAACUGGAAGUCUUGAGUACAGUAGAGGUGGGCGGAAUUCGCGGUGUAGCGGUGAAAUGCGUAGAGAUCACGAAGAACUCCGAUUGCGAAGGCAGCUCACUGGACUGCAACUGACACUGAGGCUCGAAAGUGUGGGUAUCAAACAGGAUUAGAUACCCGUGUAGUC